UGCCAGACUCCUACGGGAGGCAGCAGUGGGGGAUAUUGCACAAUGGAGGAAACUCUGAUGCAGCGACGCCGCGUGAGGGAAGACGGUCUUCGGAUUGUAAACCUCUGUCUUUGGGGAAGAAAAUGACGGUACCCAAAGAGGAAGCUCCGGCUAACUACGUGCCAGCAGCCGCGGUAAUACGUAGGGAGCAAGCGUUGUCCGGAAUUACUGGGUGUAAAGGGAGCGUAGGCGGGAUGGCAAGUUGGGUGUUAAAUCUACCGGCUCAACUGGUAGUCGCACUCAAAACUGCUAUUCUUGAGUGAAGUAGAGGCAGGCGGAAUUCCUAGUGUAGCGGUGAAAUGCGUAGAUAUUAGGAGGAACACCAGUGGCGAAGGCGGCCUACUGGACGGUGACUGACGCUGAGGCUCGAAAGCGUGGGGAGCAAACAGGAUUAGAUACCCCAGUA
This 445-nucleotide ribosomal RNA is filed under the name uncultured bacterium. Its description in RNAcentral is "partial 16S ribosomal RNA". It matches the Rfam family "Bacterial small subunit ribosomal RNA", at positions 329 to 792 of the family's 1533-position model. The record is from RNAcentral.